Molecule: long non-coding RNA, 1005 nt
Filed under: Homo sapiens (human)
Lineage: Eukaryota; Metazoa; Chordata; Mammalia; Primates; Hominidae
Source: RNAcentral
CUUAAAAAAAAAAAUUAUGAAAACGAUGUUUAGCAGAACAAUUACCAGGAUAAAUUCUAAAAGCAUUAAAACAAACAAAAAAAGCCAACGAUAGUACCAAAGUAAAACUGUACCGUUAUAAAAUUCACAGCUGUAUAUACAACGGACCAAACCUCUUUCAUAAUACUCAUGAGAACACAACUUGUUUUCUGAACCAUUAGCUAUACACAGAACAGGCUAAUGUAACAUAAUUAUUACAGUGUAUUAAUCCUUUCCCCUCAAAUUUGCUAAAAAGAUGGUCAGCUGCAUUAUUUAUCUGAAUCUUCUUACAACUUUUACUGCAUUAGACAGCUAAUGAAACUGAAUUAUUUUGCAUGGACCUAAAAGAAACCUGAGGAUACCUGGUUUUAGCCACGACUGCCUUCUCUAGAUUGCAAUUACACAAUACAUAUGUAACUUAUAGAAAACAUCUUGGUGAUAUUUUACUACUCCAAACUACAUGUAACAAUUCCUGUGCUCACUUCGGCAGCAUUUAUACUAAAACUGGACCAAUACAGAGAUUAGAAUGGUCCCCAUACAAGGAUGACAUGCAAAUCCAUGAACACUCCAUAUUUUUGUAUAUAUAUCCCAUGAAUACUACACAGCCACAGAAAAAAAAGGAUGAAAUAAUGCCCUUCAAAUAAAAUAAUAUCCAUGGAUGGAGCUGUAGACCAUAAUCUAAGUGAAUUAACACAGAAACAGAAAACCAAACACCGCAUGUUCUCACUUACAAGUGCAAGUUAAACACUGAGCACACAUGGACAUAAACAUGUAACAACACUGUCGACUACUAGAGGGGGGAAGGAGGGGAACAUGGGUUGAAAACUACCCACUGCGUACCAUGCUCACUACCUGGAUGCAAUAUUACCCAUGUAACAAACCUGCACAUAUACCUCCAGUAUCUAAAAUAAAAGCUGAAUUUAAAAAAGAAAAGAAAAAUUUCCUCUCACCAUGACCUUUUCCACCUUUUAUUUUCUUCCUUUUUAC